This 427-nucleotide ribosomal RNA is filed under the name uncultured bacterium. RNAcentral's name for it is "partial 16S ribosomal RNA". It matches the Rfam family "Bacterial small subunit ribosomal RNA", at positions 355 to 774 of the family's 1533-position model. The record is from RNAcentral.
UGGGGAAUAUUGGACAAUGGGCGAAAGCCUGAUCCAGCCAUGCCGCGUGUGUGAAGAAGGUCUUCGGAUUGUAAAGCACUUUAAGUUGGGAGGAAGGGCAGUAAGUUAAUACCUUGCUGCUUUGACGUUACCGACAGAAUAAGCACCGGCUAACUCUGUGCCAGCAGCCGCGGUAAUACAGAGGGUGCAAGCGUUAAUCGGCAUUACUGGGCGUAAAGCGCGCGUAGGUGGUUUGUUAAGUUGGAUGUGAAAGCCCCGGGCUCAACCUGGGAACUGCAUCCAAAACUGGCAAGCUAGAGUACGGUAGAGGGUGGUGGAAUUUCCUGUGUAGCGGUGAAAUGCGUAGAUAUAGGAAGGAACACCAGUGGCGAAGGCGACCACCUGGACUGAUACUGACACUGAGGUGCGAAAGCGUGGGGAGCAAACA